AGCCGCCGCGGGAACACCGGCGGCCCGAGUGGUGAUCGUGAUUAUUGGGUCUAAAGGGUCCGUAGCCGGUUGGUCAGUCCUCCGGGAAAUCUGAUAGCUCAACUAUUAGGCUUUCGGGGGAUACUGCCAGACUUGGAACCGGGAGAGGUAAGAGGUACUACAGGGGUAGGAGUGAAAUCUUGUAAUCCCUGUGGGACCACCUGUGGCGAAGGCGUCUUACCAGAACGGGUUCGACGGUGAGGGACGAAAGCUGGGGGCACGAACCGGAUUAGAUACCCGGGUAGUCCCAGCCGUAAACGAUGCUCGCUAGGUGUCAGGCAUGGCGCGACCGUGUCUGGUGCCGCAGGGAAGCCGUGAAGCGAGCCACCUGGGAAGUACGGCCGCAAGGCUGAAACUUAAAGGAAUUGGCGGGGGAGCACAACAACGGGUGGAAGCCUGCGGUUUAAUUGGACUCAACGCCGGACAACUCACCGGGGGCGACAGCAAUAUGUAGGCCAAGCUGAAGACUUUGCCUGAAUCGCUGAGGGGAGGUGCAUGG
This 538-nucleotide ribosomal RNA is filed under the name uncultured archaeon. Its description in RNAcentral is "bacterial SSU rRNA". It matches the Rfam family "Archaeal small subunit ribosomal RNA", at positions 460 to 997 of the family's 1478-position model. The record is from RNAcentral.